AGCAGCCGCGGUAAUUCCAGCUCCAAUAGCGUAUAUUAAAGUUGUUGCAGUUAAAAAGCUCGUAGUUGAAUUUCGGGGUCAGUAGUUUGGUCAUGCCACAGGUAUGUACCGAUCUUACUGAUUCCUCCUUCCUGAUGAACCGUAAUGCCAUUAAUUUGGUGUUGCGGGGAAACUGGACUGUUACUUUGAAAAAAUUAGAGUGUUUAAAGCAGGCUAACGCUUGAAUACGUUAGCAUGGAAUAAUGAAAUAGGACGUUCGAUCCUAUUUUGUUGGUUUCUAGGAUUGACGUAAUGAUUAAUAGGGAUAGCUGGGGGCAUUAGUAUUCAAUUGUCAGAGGUGAAAUUCUUGGAUUUAUUGAAGACUAACUACUGCGAAAGCAUUUGCCAAGGAUGUUUUCAUUAAUCAAGAACGAAAGUUAGGGGAUCGAAGACGAUCAGAUACCGUCGUAGUCUUAACCAUAAACUAUGCCGACUAGGGAUCGGAUGAUGUUAAUUUUAUAAUGACUCA
Molecule: ribosomal RNA, 508 nt
Filed under: uncultured Glomus
Lineage: Eukaryota; Fungi; Glomeromycota; Glomeromycetes; Glomerales; Glomeraceae
Description: SSU rRNA
Rfam family: Eukaryotic small subunit ribosomal RNA
Source: RNAcentral